ACUGCUCAGUAACACGUGGAUAACCUGCCCAAGGGUCUGGGAUAACCCCGGGAAACUGGGGAUAAUACUGGAUAGAUCACCUAUGCUGGAAGGGCUUGGUGGUUUAAAGGUAACGCCUUUGGAUGGGUCUGCGGCGGAUUAGGUUGACGCCGGUGUAAUGUACCGGCGUGCCUGUAAUCCGUACGGGUUGUGGGAGCAAGAGCCCGGAGAUGGAUUCUGAGACACGAAUCCAGGCCCUACGGGGCGCAGCAGGCGCGAAAACUCUACAAUGCAGGAGACUGCGAUAGGGGGACAUCGAGUGGCAUCCACCUUGGGUGCCUGUCCAACCGUCUAAAAAACGGUUGUUAGCAAGGGCCGGGUAAGACCGGUGCCAGCCGCCGCGGUAAUACCGGCGGCUCGAGUGGUGGCCGAUAUUAUUGAGUCUAAAGGGUCCGUAGCCGGCUUUGCAAGUCCCCUGGGAAAUCCAGCGGCUUAACCGUUGGGCUUUCAUGGGAUACUACAUUGCUUGGGACUGGGAGAGGUAGGAGGUACUCGGGGGGUAGGGGUGAAAUCCUGUAAUCCUCCGGGGACCACCGGUGGCGAAGGCGCCCUACCAGAACAGGUCCGACGGUGAGGGACGAAAGCUAGGGGCACGAACCGGAUUAGAUACCCGGGUAGUCCUAGCCGUAAACGAUGCCCGCUAGGUGUCACGACAGUCGUGAAUUGUCGUGGUGCCGUAGGGAAGCCGCGAAGCGGGCCACUUGGGAAGUACGACCGCAAGGUUGAAACUUAAAGGAAUUGGCGGGGGAGCAC
Molecule: ribosomal RNA, 792 nt
Filed under: uncultured archaeon
Lineage: Archaea
Description: bacterial SSU rRNA
Rfam family: Archaeal small subunit ribosomal RNA
Source: RNAcentral